GAUGAACGCUGGCGGCGUGCCUAAUACAUGCAAGUCGAGCGAACAGACGAGGAGCUUGCUCCUUUGACGUUAGCGGCGGACGGGUGAGUAACACGUGGGUAACCUACCUAUAAGACUGGGAUAACUUCGGGAAACCGGAGCUAAUACCGGAUAAUAUUUCGAACCGCAUGGUUCGAUAGUGAAAGAUGGCUUUGCUAUCACUUAUAGAUGGACCUGCGCCGUAUUAGCUAGUUGGUAAGGUAACGGCUUACCAAGGCAACGAUACGUAGCCGACCUGAGAGGGUGAUCGGCCACACUGGAACUGAGACACGGUCCAGACUCCUACGGGAGGCAGCAGUAGGGAAUCUUCCGCAAUGGGCGAAAGCCUGACGGAGCAACGCCGCGUGAGUGAUGAAGGUCUUCGGAUCGUAAAACUCUGUUAUUAGGGAAGAACAAACGUGUAAGUAACUGUGCACGUCUUGACGGUACCUAAUCAGAAAGCCACGGCUAACUACGUGCCAGCAGCCGCGGUAAUACGUAGGUGGCAAGCGUUAUCCGGAAUUAUUGGGCGUAAAGCGCGCGUAGGCGGUUUUUUAAGUCUGAUGUGAAAGCCCACGGCUCAACCGUGGAGGGUCAUUGGAAACUGGAAAACUUGAGUGCAGAAGAGGAAAGUGGAAUUCCAUGUGUAGCGGUGAAAUGCGCAGAGAUAUGGAGGAACACCAGUGGCGAAGGCGACUUUCUGGCCUGUAACUGACGCUGAUGUGCGAAAGCGUGGGGAUCAAACAGGAUUAGAUACCCUGGUAGUCCACGCCGUAAACGAUGAGUGCUAAGUGUUAGGGGGUUUCCGCCCCUUAGUGCUGCAGCUAACGCAUUAAGCACUCCGCCUGGGGAGUACGACCGCAAGGUUGAAACUCAAAGGAAUUGACGGGGACCCGCACAAGCGGUGGAGCAUGUGGUUUAAUUCGAAGCAACGCGAAGAACCUUACCAAAUCUUGACAUCCUUUGACCCUUCUAGAGAUAGAAGUUUCCCCUUCGGGGGACAAAGUGACAGGUGGUGCAUGGUUGUCGUCAGCUCGUGUCGUGAGAUGUUGGGUUAAGUCCCGCAACGAGCGCAACCCUUAAGCUUAGUUGCCAUCAUUAAGUUGGGCACUCUAAGUUGACUGCCGGUGACAAACCGGAGGAAGGUGGGGAUGACGUCAAAUCAUCAUGCCCCUUAUGAUUUGGGCUUCACACGUGCUACAAUGGACAAUACAAAGGGCAGCGAAACCGCGAGGUCAAGCAAAUCCCAUAAAGUUGUUCUCAGUUCGGAUUGUAGUCUGCAACUCGACUACAUGAAGCUGGAAUCGCUAGUAAUCGUAGAUCAGCAUGCUACGGUGAAUACGUUCCCGGGUCU
This 1372-nucleotide ribosomal RNA is filed under the name uncultured bacterium. RNAcentral's name for it is "bacterial SSU rRNA". It matches the Rfam family "Bacterial small subunit ribosomal RNA", at positions 28 to 1381 of the family's 1533-position model. The record is from RNAcentral.